Molecule: ribosomal RNA, 497 nt
Filed under: uncultured bacterium
Lineage: Bacteria
Description: partial 16S ribosomal RNA
Rfam family: Bacterial small subunit ribosomal RNA
Source: RNAcentral
GAUGAACGCUGGCGGCGUGCCUAAUACAUGCCAGUCGAGCGAACAGAUGAGGAGCUUGCUCCUCUGACGUUAGCGGCGGACGGGUGAGUAACACGUGGAUAACCUACCUAUAAGACUGGGAUAACUUCGGGAAACCGGAGCUAAUACCGGAUAAUAUAUUGAACCGCAUGGUUCAAUAGUGAAAGACGGUUUUGCUGUCACUUAUAGAUGGAUCCGCGCCGCAUUAGCUAGUUGGUAAGGUAACGGCUUACCAAGGCAACGAUGCGUAGCCGACCUGAGAGGGUGAUCGGCCACACUGGAACUGAGACACGGUCCAGACUCCUACGGGAGGCAGCAGUAGGGAAUCUUCCGCAAUGGGCGAAAGCCUGACGGAGCAACGCCGCGUGAGUGAUGAAGGUCUUCGGAUCGUAAAACUCUGUUAUUAGGGAAGAACAAAUGUGUAAGUAACUUUGCACGUCUUGACGGUACCUAAUCAGAAAGCCACGGCUAACUACGUG